GUUAGUUGGUGAGGUAACGGCUCACCAAGACGACGACGGGUAGCCGGCCUGAGAGGGCGACCGGCCACACUGGGACUGAGACACUGCCCAGACUCCUACGGGAGGCUGCAGUCGAGAAUCUUCGGCAAUGGGCGCAAGCCUGACCGAGCGACGCCGCGUGGAGGACGAAGGCCUUCGGGUUGUAAACUCCUGUCGAGGGGGAACAGGACGCGGUGCAGAGCCGCGUUUGAGUGAACCCUGGAGGAAGCACGGGCUAAGUUCGUGCCAGCAGCCGCGGUAAGACGAACCGUGCGAACGUUAUUCGGAAUCACUGGGCUUAAAGCGCGUGUAGGCGGCCCGGCACGUCCGUCGCUGAAAUCCCCCGGCUCAACCGGGGAAGUGGCGUGGAUACGACCGGGCUGGAGGGGGGUAGGGGGAGCCGGAACUUCCGGUGGAGCGGUGAAAUGCGUUGAGAUCGGAAGGAACGCCCGUGGCGAAAGCGGGCUCCUGGACCCCACCUGACGCUGAGACGCGAAAGCCAGGGGAGCGAACGGGAUUAGAUACCCCGGUAGUCCUGGCCGUAAACCAUGAGCAACUGGGUACAGGCUCGGCGAUGGGCUCUCUGCCGAACGCAAACGAUGANNGCAUCACAUGG
RNAcentral lists this ribosomal RNA (634 nucleotides) under uncultured bacterium. Its description in RNAcentral is "bacterial SSU rRNA". It matches the Rfam family "Bacterial small subunit ribosomal RNA", at positions 244 to 876 of the family's 1533-position model. The record is from RNAcentral.